AUGGGCGCGGGGAGACCCGCGUCUUCAUAAGCCCCUUCGUGUAGAAAGUCUAUGAAUGUUUUUACCAUCAUCGACUCGCGACUUCUAGGAGACGCGAUUCUUUGAGACAAAAGUUUAUUACAACUUUCAGCAAUGGAUCUCUUGGCUCUCGCAUCGAUGAAGAACGCAGCGAAUCGCGAUAUGUAAUGUGAAUUGCAGAUCUACAGUGAAUCAUCNAAUCUUUGAACGCACCUUGCGCUUAUCGGUGUUCCGAUGAGCAUGCCUGUUUGAGCGUCAUUAAAUUCUCAACCCCUCUCGAUUUGCUUCGAGAGGGCGCUUGGAUUGUGGAGGCUGCCGGAGACCUGUUUUUUCAGGACUCGGGCUCCUCUGAAAUGUAUUGGCUUGCGGUCGACUUUCGACUGUGCAUGACAAGGCCUUUUGGC
Molecule: ribosomal RNA, 422 nt
Filed under: uncultured Suillus
Lineage: Eukaryota; Fungi; Basidiomycota; Agaricomycetes; Boletales; Suillaceae
Description: eukaryotic LSU rRNA
Rfam family: 5.8S ribosomal RNA (bases 122-276)
Source: RNAcentral